AGUUUGAUUGACCUAUUAAAGAGAAUAGGUAUAAUGAGUCUGACCUAGAGUCGAGGAAGAAAGAGUGAGAACCUUGAUGAAAAGAGUCGGUCCGAGAGAUGUCUAGUUUGUUUGCUUUGCCGACUGCUUUGAUGUGACAUUAUGUGAAAUUACGUGACUAAUCGAUUAUGUGAUUUUCGUGAUGUGUGUCACUGUGACCGAGUUAUUAUGAUUUUUAUUCGAGACCUUAGCAUUUGGAAUUUUGAUUGAGUUUCCAAAGCAAGUAUGGGUUAUUUUUAUCGAGAAAUCGAAUGAUGCCGGUUUAUGAAAAUUUUUCCGGGCAUAAUAUUUUUAAAUUAUUUUUCCUACGAAGAGGAAUAUUAUAGUUGAGUGAGUGCACUAAUAAUAGUGCUAUGAUCAUUAUUUUGGUCACAUGAAUAAUUAUACUAUGGUAUUUUAUUAAUGAGUGACUUUACCAUAGUUUUGUGAUUUUUAUUUAAUCACCCUUCUCACACUUUAUUUUAAUCUCCCAUACCAUAUGUUAUAUGUCUCAAUUUUGCUAAGUAUGGAAUUGAGAGAGUAGAGAUUGAGAGUAUGAGAUGAGAGAGUGUAGAGAUUAGAGAGAGAUUAGAGAGAGAAAGAUCAUUCAUUAAUUAGCAAAUAUUUCAUAAGAUUUGCAAAUCUCCUUUAAAGAUUGCAAGAUCAUUCUCAAUCUUGCAAAGCCAAAUCCCUCUCUCCCUCACUACAAUUUUCGCCCAACACACACAUACACUCAUCUUCUUCACCUCACACUUCCACCAUUUUCCACCAUUAGAGCAAACCUUCGAAGCUUCCAAUAAUACUACCAAACACCUCACAUCACUCUAAAACUUUCCAUAAACACUAUCUAUCCUCAUUUGAUCAAGAGAUUCCUUGAAGAAGAGCCUCAAAAUUUAGAGUGAGAAAGUGUAAACUUUGGUAAGAACUUGGGCCCGAGCGAGACGAAGAAGUAAGUUGCCUGAUUUCUUUCCAGAAUAAGCAAAGGACUUCAGGCUAAGCUGGGAGUGAGAUUGGACUGGUGCUGAUGGGGGAGAGUUUCAAAUGAUGUAAAUUAAAUUACUAUUUUGCCUCUAUGAUAAUAGAGUCUUGAUGUUUGAAUUACUUAGUUUCUUUUGAGAUCAAGCAAUACACUCACGGUUAUGUGUCUUCAUACAUAUAAUCGGUUCGCCUUUUGCUGCGAUACUCUGCAAAUUAUGCUUCCUUAUGAAAAAUGAACUAUACGCGUUUUGUUUUUGUUCGUGAAAUUCCUAAUAAUUAAAAAGUUAUGACAAUGUUGACGAUUUUA
Molecule: long non-coding RNA, 1303 nt
Organism: Salvia miltiorrhiza (redroot sage)
Lineage: Eukaryota; Viridiplantae; Streptophyta; Magnoliopsida; Lamiales; Lamiaceae
Exons: 3
Source: RefSeq, a predicted model, not a curated record